GAGACCCGUAUCCCCCGUUGCUACCAGCCUCGAGCUGGGCACACUGGGGAGACCGCCGUCGAUAAGACGGAGGAAGGAGCGGGCCACGGCAGGUCAGUAUGCCCCGAAUCUCCCGGGCCACACGCGAGCUGCAAUGGCAGGUACAAUGGGUUCCGACCUCGAAAGGGGAAGGAAAUCUCCAAAGCCUGCCGUAGUUGGGAUCGAGGGUUGAAACCCACCCUCGUGAACAUGGAAUCCCUAGUAAUCGUGCGUCACUAGCGCGCGGUGAAUAC
RNAcentral lists this ribosomal RNA (272 nucleotides) under uncultured archaeon. Its description in RNAcentral is "partial 16S rRNA". It matches the Rfam family "Archaeal small subunit ribosomal RNA", at positions 1047 to 1325 of the family's 1478-position model. The record is from RNAcentral.